UAUUUUUAUAUUUUUCUUAUGAAAAUUGGAUGAUUUUACUCAGUUCCUAAGUAUAUUUUUUUCCUAUUUUUAAAUAAAUUGUUUACAUCUUGUUUUCUCUAAAAGCACAAGUUUGUCAGUUACAGAGGUUUUCUCUGGCACAAUAAAUUGCAUCUGAACUGGAGAUAUUUGCUGAGGGAAAUUUGAGAACCAUGGCAAAGUCCAUGUGUCUCCAGUUUUAACUGCAGUCUCUAACCAUCAGACGUCAGGUUGCUCUUGUGCCCCUACUGCCUACUCAUUCCUGCCUGCACAGUGUCCUGACUUGAAGGAGGAAUGGAGAUAGGUUCAGUUUUUAAAAUCUUUUUUUUGCUUCAUACUUUGAUACAAAGUUCACUUCAUCCAACUCAUCUAUGCUCAGAGCAUAGAUCUAUGCCCAGCUGAAUUUGGGUCCACCCAGUCUUGGCUGUGUUGAAGAGUAAAUGUUGUCUACCAUUCCUCAUACUUUGCCUACACCAAUCUUAACCCAAGACAAACCUGAAACUUUCUUAAAGGGUGCAUAACUGAGUUGUUUUUAUGCACAUAGGACAACUAUAUCUGUACAAAGUAUUCUGAGACAAAUCCUGUCCUGAAUUUUCUCCCCAUAGCAUAACAUAGCAGCUCAAUUUUCUGAAAACUGCAUAAUUUAAUUAAAAACACAUUUAUUUAGACUUCUGUAAAAUACUGAAAAUUCUUGUAGAAAUUUUGGUGCAACCUCUAUGGGAGUAUUUGGGGGUUUUGUGUGGUUUUGUUUGUUAGUUUCCGGGUUUCUGUUUUUUUUUGUGUUUUUUUUUUGGUGUUUGUUUUUUGUUGUUGUUGUUGUUUUUGUGUUUUUGUUUUGUUUUGUUUUUGUUUGUUUGUUUGUUUUUUACAAACCUGCCAGCUAAGUGAUAAUUCUGUUAAGUUUGUAUGUCACUUAUUAUCUAUCAAGACAGAUAAUUGUAACUCAUUCAGUGGGGUCAUCACGAGGAAAAAGUUAAUAGCUUCCAGCUAAGAAAAUCUCAGCUCAUCCUUGUAAGGCAGAAGGGAAAAUAAAUUUUAAGUGUCUUAGAUCCAUUCUCCAAUAUGGUGCAAGACUUGUUUUGCUACCUGAGUAACAUAUGACUUUGGACUCCAAAAAGUGAUAUUAUCUUUUGAACCAGGGUUGUUGCCAACAAAUACGAAUACAUUCUUGUAUUUGUGGACAGCUGAAUUCACUCUCAAAUCCAAAUGUGUCUGCCAGGCCCAGUAAUCAUGUGCAAACGAAUACCCACAAGCAGACUAGAGCCAAUUCCCCAUCAAGCCACAGGGUAGCCAAGCGUGCUCAGCCCAUCAGCGCAGCUCUCAGGUCUUGUUCAGUCUGGGCAAGGUAGAUCUGGUAGAGGUGGCCAUCCUGCAUCUUGAGCUACCAGUAGGUGUUUAAAGCACCUAAUGAAUGCUUUCAACCAUAGCUAGAACUGAGCCCAAGAGAUGAAUGAAAAGUGCGUGGGUCACAGAGUUUGUUGUACUUUAACUUGCUUUUAACCUUUAUUAGCCAAAAUACCAAGUGGUUUUUAAAGGAUUCAGCUGUUUCUUGGGAGCAAAGGGGGAGAUUAUACUAUCCAGUCAUUCAGACACUGGGUCUAGAAUAAACUUAAAUACCCCAAAUUACCAACUGGUAAAUUGGCAGAUACCAGUCUGGGCUAAAAUUUAACAACUGUUUAUUUCUGAAGUUCUUUAAAAAUAACUAUAAUAGCAAGUUUAAUGUAAUAAGCAGUUGAGACUUUUUUUUUUCUUACAUUAAUCACUGGCUAUGAUUUUGCAAGAGAGGUAGCAGUGGGAACCUACCCUAAACCUGUGUGUGUAAUUGUGGCUAUUAGCCAGAUGAAUGUACCCUUGGGCUGACUUUUACCAUGUGAUAGUCUUACACAGGUGUAAGUGAUAGUUGAAACACAAAGCUUUAGCAAAAAGAUCAGAGAUAAAGUUACCUUCUUCGCAGUGUUUAUGAGGUUCUUCAAAAUAAUAAAUGACAGAAUGAAAUUACAGACUUCAUUAAGUGGUGUCCUCAUCCAGUCCAAAUUCAAUAAUUACUGGUGUCAUGGUAGUCUCUCUGAUGUCUGUUGUAAGAAGGUUUAAAGAUUAUCAGCUUUGAUCUGACAAUGGUUUGUGCCUAUUCAAUUUCCAUUAUCUCAGUGUCAUUCCUAAUAUGACAUCAUUUAAUAAAUGUGAAGUUGUGAGAAAUUUUCAUGGAUGUUGCUUUACAUUAGUAGUUUCUUCAGCAUUGGUGCCUCAUGUUUAAUAAUAAAUUUGGGCACCUCUACAUGAUUUCUCACCAGGGCACUACUAGGAAGUACUAUUAGCUCCUUUUUGAAGAUAUGAAAUUGAGGAUCCAGAGGAAUAAUGCAUCCUAUGAGGAUUCAGUAGUGGAGCCCAAAAUAGGAGCUGGGGUUCUCAACUUCUAAUUCAGUAUCUGAACUGGGUUAUGCUGCCAUAAUUUAAUAUUGCUUGAUGCAGUACUGAUGUAACAAUUACAUAUAUUUCUGAAGGAAGGCACAAUGUAUAGGCAAUGUAUUGUCAAAGCAGUACAAAAAGAAGUACUUUAUGAUUGUAUCACAGUGUGGUGGGUUAACCCUGGCUACGCAUUAGGUGACCCCCAAGCCACUUUAUAACUCCCCUUACUCAGCAGGACAGGGGGAGAAAAUACAACAAAAAACCCCAUGGGCUGAGUUAAGGAUAGAGAGAUCACUCACUUAUUACUGUUAUGGGCAAAACAGAUUCAGCUUGGGGAAAUUAAUUUAAUUUAUUACCAAUUAAUAAUGGAAUAAGACAAUGAGAAAUGAAAGCUAAACUAAAACCACCUUAUCCCUACCUCUUCCCUUCUUCCUGGGCUCAACUUCACUCCCAACUCUUCUACCUUCUCACACUGACCAGUGCAGAGGGACGGGGAAGGGGGGUUGUGGUCAGUCCAUAACACUUUGUCUCUGCUGCUCCUUCCUCCUCAAGCCCUGCCCCUGCUUCAGCAUGAGAUCCCUCACAUGGGAGACAGUCCUUCCCAUGAGCUGCAGGCCUUCAAGAACUUCUCCAGCAUGGGCUGUUUCUCUCACAGUUUCUCACUCCUCUCUUAGAGCUGCUGCACAGUGUUUUUUACCCUUUCUUAAAUGUUUUCACAGACGUGCGACCAAAGCCACUGAUAGACUCAGCUGUGGCCAGUGGCAUUUCCAUCUUGGAACUGGCUAAAACUGGCUCUGCCCAACAUGGGGGGAGCUCCUGGUGUCUUCCAACUGAACCCAUUCCUACAAUCUCUCCACUAUCAAAACCUUGCCAGAAUCACAGGAUGGUUGGUGUUGGAAGGGACCUCUGGACAUCAUGCAGUCCAACCCAUCUGUGGGGUUCACCCGGCGCAGAUCACACAGGAAUAUGUCCAGUCAUAAUGAAGUCAGAGAUAGGAAAUUUAUAGAGUCUCUGAAAUCUCUGAAAUCUCAGCUGGGAGAGCGAAGAUGCAGGUUCAGAUGUCCUACAGCAAAUUCAGAUUAAAGACCAGAACUCAAGCCUUCUAUGAGGUUCUAGGCAUGUACCAGUAAGUGGAUUGUAAACAGCUGUAACCAUAAAUCCAUCAUGACAAACUCAUCAAGACAAAAUGUCCUCAAGGAGCAUCUGCUCACAGAACGUCACAUCCAUUGCUCCAUACCAAGUGGCCUUGCCUACAUUUCCCUUACAGAUGAACUGAUUUCUUUCUGUUAAAACCAAUGCCAGAUACUUCCACUUGCUCAUGAAAUGUAAUGCUUGUUUUCCUCUGCCCUUGAAGUAAACAGAGUUUUCAGUAUGAGCACUGUAACUUCCUUUUAAAUAAAAUUUCUGAUGUUUUUGCCAGUGAACAAUUUGGAAAUCAGGAAGUAUUCAAACGUUUCCUACGGUAUGAAGUGGCUGUAAAGCUACUCUGUAGAGCACAGCUGAGGAUUUCCGAGUUGUGGCAAUAAAGCUGAUUUACUUCCUCUCCACUACUCCACAUAAGGUAUAAGAAGUAGAAAAGAUCACGGUCCAUUGUACUAGAUCCUGAACAGAUUAGCUUAGUAGCUGUCACUUAUAUACCUGACACUUGGUAGCUGUCAGGCAAUUUUAAGUUUUUUUUUUUUGCACUCCCUUUGGAACCAUUUUGGCCAUCUGCUAACUUAGUGGAGGCAAAGAGUAGUGAGAUUUUUAAAACUAAUGCCCAAAAUAUGAAGACCUACCCCUAUUCUCUUGAAGCAGAUAAAUAAUUUAAGGUUUUUAGUGCUCAGGACUUCAGAACAGAGCUGAAACUUCUAAGGCAUCUUAUUAGAAACUUUGUUGGCUUCCUGGUCCUGGGAGUAUGGUGCUCAUUUCUCAGUGAUAGUUGCAGCUUUUCUGCUUCUAGACUGUUUUGGCACAAGGCUGUGUUAAAGGGUGGUAAAAAAGAGUGAAAGAAGUUAUUAAUCUGAAGGUGUUAUUCAUCACAACAUUUGAACUGCUUCUGAGUAUUUAAAAUUUUCAGAGAAAGCUUGUGUUGGUUCUUAUGCUAAAUAGGUUGAUUAUCCUUAAAAGAUUCCUAGUCUAGCUUUUGUCUUAGUAUUAUGUUUUAGUGAAUUAAUUCAAGUUUUUAGUAGUGCUCUGGGACAAAGCAGAACAUUGCAGCAAAUGUGGCAGAGAUUUAUAUGUUCAGGUCUUUAAUUUGCAUUUUAGUAUAAUCAGAAUGUUUUUCAUUUGUGUUUUUAGUAUUAAUUUAGUUUUUCUGUGUACAGUUAAUGCUUCAAAUCUUUCCAUUUAUCUUUCCAGUUCCUCCACAUGCCAAAUGCACUGAUUCUCAAUGGUUCUUCCAGGACAUGUUGGCUAUUCCCUUGGUAACACAUUGUUUAAUCCUUGACUAGUCUUGCUGCACUAAAUCUAAGAGACUUUAGAGCCAUGAAUCUGAAUGCUGAUGCAAUCCCCAGACAGAUCCAUUUAUAUUAGGAGUGUGCACAUUGCUAAUGUUCGCUCUUUCUAUCUAGGCUGGGGCCGUUUGCACGUGUUACUUAUUUGGCUUCACAAAUAAGCUUUAGCAGUCUGGAAAAUAAUAGGACACACUAUUUGUGACUGUUGGGGAUCUCACAUUGCUGACACUGACUGUCUGUGGGAGGUAUGGUUUAAUAGUUGAAGCUGAAGAUUGGAGGUGGAGAGAUCUGCAUUUUUUUUUGUAACACAUUUAUGGUACAUCCUAAGUGAAAAGAGAUUUUUGUGAAGUUCAAUUUAAAAUAUUUCUAUAUUUCUCCUAAAAAUGGUCUAGUAAUAAAGUAUUCAAAAGGGAAAUAUAUUUAAGUAUGACAAUUUGCUGCAUCCUUGCUGCAAGUGACUCUUCAGAAAAGAAAGAUAUCUAAUCUGCAAAUUGUAAUCAAUAAUAUGUAUGUAUUACAGUGCCUUGGUUGUCCUAUCUGAAGUCCCAGUAGAUUUUUUUCUUACUUUUUCUCUAAUGAAUUAUUGACUUUUCAGUCCCAGUUGCAUCUAGUAAAUGUUUGAUACUAAAGCAGCACAAAUGAUGUUUUUUUCAAAAAAAGCUUACAUGUCUCUAUUUUUUAAAAGCCUAAAUAUUCCUAUAAUUAUUUUUUUUGUCUGCAAUUUGUGGCAACAAGUUGUCAUAUCAAAUAUUACCAAAAUCUAUCCUGAGCUUUGCUGCCUUACUUUGUUAACCAGUCCUGCUCAAUAGCUGUCAUUGUUACAUGAAGACUGACAUCAGAAUUAGAUUGAUUCCUGCACUUAAACAAUUAACUAGCAGCUAGGUUCUUCCUUCUAAAUGGAAUAUAUCAGGCCACCAAGAUAGUUCCAAGUGUUGUUCAAAAAGUUAUCGAUUUAUUCACCAAAACAAUAACUUCAAGCAAGAGUAAUUUCUGCUAGCUCUCUUCUCUAUAACAGCUUACUAGACAAAAUGUGUUUGAUUUAACAGCACUCUGAAUGCCAGAUGUAUUCUCCUGUUCCUUUAUGAAAAACAAUGCAGUUACUCUUGAAUAGGGAGUCUCCACUUGGGAGGGCAUGCUCAUAAUGCCACCCUUCCUUUGAAAUUUUUUUACUAGCUGGAAGUUUUGAAAGUGAAUGUAUCUGGCAAGACCCACCCUAAGACAUUGUGCCCACAGACUUUUCUUUUCAGGACACCAAAUGUUGUACCUCUGUUGUUGGAGCAAUUCCACAACUCUGAGACAAGGAGUAACAGAUAAGUCCUAAUACAGUACAGGCCUACAGAAGCUCUACAAAUUUAGAUACAUCUAUUUCUAGUAGAUCUAGUUGGACAGAAAUCCCUCUGCAUGGUCUUUAUAGUUCCUUGAGGGGACCUACUUCUGCUAUUGAUGGAAAGAAGUAAUCAUUAGUGUUCUUUGUACAAAACAUCUCUAUGUAGUCUGUAAGCAGCUUAUAUAAAUAUUUAAGUUAUGCUUGUCCUUAACAAUCACUUAUUUGAGAAGAACCUGUAAUGUUCUCUUAUCUGUUGAAUUAUAAUUAAGACCUAUUUUAAAAUAAAUGCAUGUAUCCUUACUUAUCUGGGUGGUAAAUCUUGCUGAUAUGAAUUUUAGAUGCUUCAGUAUCAUCAUGUGAAAGACCCACAGUCAUGUCUGUGGAAGUCAAAAAUCUACACAUAUUUAUCCGAGGUAAGAAUUCUAAUUUUAUCUAAAAACCAUAGAAAAAUUGGGUUGAAAAGAACUUCUGGAGUUUACCUAAUCUAUCCCCAGUGUAAGGAAUAUCAGUGCAAACAUACGGUAUCCUCUGCACUGAGUAAGGAAAGUUGCUUUUUUCUCUAAAACUGUAGAACUAAGUUUUUCUAUCCUUCAGCAGCUGGCCAGAAAGUUAAAAAGUUUUCAUAUGCAUUUGAGCUUUUGAAUAAAUAUAUUUGUAACUCUUGCAUGACUUCAGUUUCUAUGAACACUCAUGUAGCCAAUUUGUGUGCAAUGAACAUUAAUCA
This is a long non-coding RNA of Columba livia (rock pigeon), 6910 nucleotides long. RefSeq lists it as uncharacterized. The transcript is spliced from 4 exons. NCBI's taxonomy places the organism in Eukaryota, Metazoa, Chordata, Aves, Columbiformes, Columbidae. The record is from RefSeq and is a predicted model, not a curated record.